GCCCGCUGUUAUUAUUGGUGCAGGUCGAGUCGGCCAAGCUCUCGCCACAAUGGGAGGUGGCAAGGACGUGGUUCUGAAGAGGGGAGACCCUUUCCCAGCCGACGCUCCGGCAGGGCCCAUCAUUGUUUGCACGA
This 134-nucleotide non-coding RNA is filed under the name Chloropicon mariensis. The record is from RNAcentral. Lineage: Eukaryota; Viridiplantae; Chlorophyta; Chloropicophyceae; Chloropicales; Chloropicaceae.